GAUGAAGAACGCAGCGAAAUGCGAUAAGUAGUGUGAAUUGCAGAAGUACCGUGAAUCAUCGAAUCUUUGAACGUAAAUUGCACCCUCUGGUCUUCCGGGGAGUAUGCCUGUUUGAGGGUCGCUUAACAAACCAUCGAUUUCGUUGAUUUUUUUUUAAAAAAGUGAUGUUUAUCGGAUUUGAGCCGUCUUUUUUUUUUUAUAUUUAAGUGGCUUAAAAUUGAUUUUUUUUGGUACGAUCGAAGCGUAUUUUUAUGAUCAAUUUUUGGUUAAAGAAACGCACACGUACCGUUAUUUAUAUGAUGUAAUACGUUUGACUAUCGGAUUUAGUUCAUUCGUAUACGAUAUUUUUCAAUAUUUGACCUCAAAUCAGGUAAGAACACCCGCUGAACUUAAGCAUAUCAAUAAGCGGAGGA
This 413-nucleotide unclassified non-coding RNA is filed under the name soil metagenome. Its description in RNAcentral is "partial contains 5.8S ribosomal RNA, internal transcribed spacer 2, and large subunit ribosomal RNA". The stretch from base 1 to 121 matches the Rfam family "5.8S ribosomal RNA", at positions 35 to 154 of the family's 154-position model. The record is from RNAcentral.